This 468-nucleotide ribosomal RNA is filed under the name uncultured bacterium. RNAcentral's name for it is "SSU rRNA". It matches the Rfam family "Bacterial small subunit ribosomal RNA", at positions 26 to 518 of the family's 1533-position model. The record is from RNAcentral.
AGGAUGAACGCUGGCGGCGUGCCUAAAACAUGCAAGUCAUACGGGCUACCUUCGGGUAGCCAGUGGCAAACGGGUGAGUAACACGUGAGCAACCUGCCCUUAGCUUCGGGAUAGCUCCGGGAAACCGGAAUUAAUACCGAAUAUGACUUUGGCUGACAUCAGCAGAAGUGGAAAGUUUUUCGGCUAGGGAUGGACUCGCGGCCUAUCAGCUAGUUGGUGAGGUAACGGCCCACCAAGGCGACGACGGGUAGCCGGCCUGAGAGGGCGACCGGCCACACUGGGACUGAGACACGGCCCAGACUCCUACGGGAGGCAGCAGUGGGGAAUAUUGCGCAAUGGGCGAAAGCCUGACGCAGCGACGCCGCGUGGGGGAUGAAUGCCUUCGGGUUGUAACCCUUUCAGCAGGGACGAAGCGAAAGUGACGGUACCUGCAGAAGAAGCGCCGGCUAACUACGUGCCAGCAGCCGC